This 490-nucleotide ribosomal RNA is filed under the name uncultured bacterium. RNAcentral's name for it is "partial 16S ribosomal RNA". It matches the Rfam family "Bacterial small subunit ribosomal RNA", at positions 30 to 507 of the family's 1533-position model. The record is from RNAcentral.
AUUGAACGCUGGCGGCAGGCCUAACACAUGCAAGUCGAACGGUAACAGGAAACAGCUUGCUGUUUCGCUGACGAGUGGCGGACGGGUGAGUAAUGUCUGGGAAACUGCCUGAUGGAGGGGGAUAACUACUGGAAACGGUAGCUAAUACCGCAUAACGUCGCAAGACCAAAGAGGGGGACCUUCGGGCCUCUUGCCAUCGGAUGUGCCCAGAUGGGAUUAGCUAGUAGGUGGGGUAACGGCUCACCUAGGCGACGAUCCCUAGCUGGUCUGAGAGGAUGACCAGCCACACUGGAACUGAGACACGGUCCAGACUCCUACGGGAGGCAGCAGUGGGGAAUAUUGCACAAUGGGCGCAAGCCUGAUGCAGCCAUGCCGCGUGUAUGAAGAAGGCCUUCGGGUUGUAAAGUACUUUCAGCGGGGAGGAAGGGAGUAAAGUUAAUACCUUGGCUAAUUGACGUUACCCGCAGAAGAAGCACCGGCUAACUCCGUG